GACGAACGCUGGCGGCGUGCUUAACACAUGCAAGUCGAACGGUGAAGCGCCUUCCUUUUUGGUGGGUGUGGAUGAGUGGCGAACGGUUGAGUAACACGUGAGUAACCUGCCCCCUUCUUCUGGAUAACCGCAUGAAAGUGUGGCUAAUACGGGAUAUUCUGGGUCUGUCGCAUGAUGGGUCUGGGACAGAUAUUGUUUCGGUGGGGGAUGGGCUCGCGGCCGAUCAGCUUGUUGGUGGGGUGAUGGCCUACCAAGGCGGUGACGGGUAGCCGGCUUGAGAGGGUGGACGGUCACACUGGGACUGAGACACGGCCCAGACUCCUACGGGAGGCAGCAGUGGGGAAGAUUGCACAGUGGGGGCAAGCCUGAUGCAGCGACGCCGCGUGAGGGAUGGAGGCCUUCGGGUUGUGAACCUCUUUCGCCAGUGAAGCAGGCCUGCCUGGUUUGUGGGUGGGUUGACGGUAGCUGGAUAAGAAGCGCCGGCUAACUACGUG
Molecule: ribosomal RNA, 494 nt
Filed under: uncultured bacterium
Lineage: Bacteria
Description: partial 16S ribosomal RNA
Rfam family: Bacterial small subunit ribosomal RNA
Source: RNAcentral